RNAcentral lists this unclassified non-coding RNA (418 nucleotides) under soil metagenome. Its description in RNAcentral is "partial contains 5.8S ribosomal RNA, internal transcribed spacer 2, and large subunit ribosomal RNA". The stretch from base 1 to 120 matches the Rfam family "5.8S ribosomal RNA", at positions 35 to 154 of the family's 154-position model. The record is from RNAcentral.
GAUGAAGAACGCAGCGAAAUGCGAUAAGUAAUGUGAAUUGCAGAAUUCAGUGAAUCAUCGAAUCUUUGAACGCAUCUUGCGCUCCUUGGUAUUCCUUGGAGCAUGCCUGUUUGAGUAUCAUGAGCAAAUCUCAAAGUCAAUUCCUUUUGUUGAUUCAAUUGGUUUUGCUUUGGACUUGGAGGCCUUGCAGAUUUCACAGUCUGCUCCUCUUAAAUGCAUUAGCUGGAUCUCAGUAAUUAUGCUUGGUUCCACUCGGCGUGAUAAGUAUCACUCGCUGAGGACACUGUUAAAAAGGUGGCCAGGAAAAUACUGAUUGAACCGCUUCUAACGGUCUAUUAAGUUAGACAAUUACCCUUAAGUUUGAUCUCAAAUCAGGUAGGACUACCCGCUGAACUUAAGCAUAUCAAUAAGCGGAGGA